This 450-nucleotide ribosomal RNA is filed under the name uncultured bacterium. RNAcentral's name for it is "partial 16S ribosomal RNA". It matches the Rfam family "Bacterial small subunit ribosomal RNA", at positions 354 to 796 of the family's 1533-position model. The record is from RNAcentral.
GUGGGGAAUCUUCCGCAAUGGACGAAAGUCUGACGGAGCGACGCCGCGUGAGUGAAGAAGGCCUUCGGGUCGUAAAGCUCUGUCAUCAGGGACGAAUGGCCGGUGGAGUGGAAAGCCACCGGAUUGACGGUACCUGAGAAGGAAGCCACGGCUAACUACGUGCCAGCAGCCGCGGUAAUACGUAGGUGGCAAGCGUUGUCCGGAAUUAUUGGGCGUAAAGCGCGCGCAGGUGGGAUCUUAAGUCCAUUUUGAAAGUUCGGAGCUCAACUCCGUGAUGGGAUGGAAACUGGGAUUCUUGAGUACCGGAGAGGAAAGCGGAAUUCCCCGUGUAGCGGUGAAAUGCGUAGAUAUGGGGAGGAACACCAGUGGCGAAGGCGGCCUGCUGGACAUUAACUGACGCUGAUGCGCGAAAGCGUGGGGAGCAAACAGGAUUAGAUACCCCGGUAGUCC